This 462-nucleotide ribosomal RNA is filed under the name uncultured bacterium. RNAcentral describes it as "partial 16S ribosomal RNA". It matches the Rfam family "Bacterial small subunit ribosomal RNA", at positions 28 to 507 of the family's 1533-position model. The record is from RNAcentral.
GACGAACGCUGGCGGCGUGCUUAACACAUGCCAGUCGAGCGGUAAGGCCUUUCGGGGUAUUCUAGCGGCGAACGGGUGAGUAACACGUGGGUGAUCUGCCCUGCACCUUGGGAUAAGCCUGGGAAACUGGGUCUAAUACCGGAUAUGACCUCCUUUUGCUUGGUGGGUUGUGGCAAGAUUUAUCGGUGUGGGAUGGGUCCGUGGCCUAUGAGUUUGUUCGUGAGGUAAUGGUCUACCAAGGCGACGCCGGGUAGCCGACCUGUGAGUGUGACCGGCGACAAGGGGACUGAGAGAGGGAGCAGAAGCGAACGGGAGGCAGUAGGGGGGAAUAUGGCAGAAUGGGGGAGAGUCUGAUGCGGAGACGCUGGGUGAGGGAUGACGGCCUUCGGGUUGUAAACAUAUGUCAGCGGGGACGAAGAGAAAGUGACGGUACCUGCUGAAGAAGCAACGGCUAACUACGUG